This 21-nucleotide unclassified non-coding RNA is filed under the name Chlamydomonas reinhardtii. RNAcentral describes it as "small RNA Cre_0438". Lineage: Eukaryota; Viridiplantae; Chlorophyta; Chlorophyceae; Chlamydomonadales; Chlamydomonadaceae. The record is from RNAcentral.
AGAUGCGGCCUUCCAGCCAGG